Molecule: ribosomal RNA, 253 nt
Filed under: uncultured bacterium
Lineage: Bacteria
Description: partial 16S ribosomal RNA
Rfam family: Bacterial small subunit ribosomal RNA
Source: RNAcentral
UACGAAGGGGGCUAGCGUUGCUCGGAAUCACUGGGCGUAAAGGGUGCGUAGGCGGGUCUUUAAGUCAGGGGUGAAAUCCUGGAGCUCAACUCCAGAACUGCCUUUGAUACUGAAGAUCUUGAGUUCGGGAGAGGUGAGUGGAACUGCGAGUGUAGAGGUGUAAUUCGUAGAUAUUCGCAAGAACACCAGUGGCGAAGGCGGCUCACUGGCCCGAUACUGACGCUGAGGCACGAAAGCGUGGGGAGCAAACAGG